Molecule: ribosomal RNA, 301 nt
Filed under: uncultured bacterium
Lineage: Bacteria
Description: partial 16S ribosomal RNA
Rfam family: Bacterial small subunit ribosomal RNA
Source: RNAcentral
CAGCCGCCGCGGGAAUACGUAGGUAGCAAGCGUUGUCCGGAAUUAUUGGGCGUAAAGGGCUCGCAGGCGGUUUCUUAAGUCUGAUGUGAAAGCCCCCGGCUCAACCGGGGAGGGUCAUUGGAAACUGGGAAGCUUGAGUGCAGAAGAGGAGAGUGGAAUUCCACGUGUAGCGGUGAAAUGCGUAGAGAUGUGGAGGAACACCAGUGGCGAAGGCGACUCUCUGGUCUGUAACUGACGCUGAGGAGCGAAAGCGUGGGGAGCGUACAGGAUUAGAUACCCCCGUAGUCCCUGUCUCUUAUAC